UUUUUUUUUUUUUUUUUGUAUUUUUAGUGGAGACGGGAUUUCACCUGUUAGCCAGGAUGGUCUCGAUCUUCUGACCUCGUGAUCCGCCUGCCUCGGCCUCCCAAAGUGCUGGGAUUACAGGCUUGAGCCACCACGCUCGGCCCCCAACUUCUAUCUUCUAAGUUUGCCUUCAGAAAGAGUGGCCCACAGGAGCCAAGAAGGAACUGCUUCCCAAGCAACUAUGGAGUAGUGGAUCUGUGUGGCACAAAGGAUGGCCUGUGGCAGCUAUGGAAGUGCACUGCUUGGAUGUCACUUUAAGAGAGGGCCUGUUAUAAGGAGUGCAGUUAGUCAACAGCAUCCAGGUAGAAUGUCUUCAGGUUCCAAGGCAGCAUUUGAGGUGAGACCAUGCUAGUUCCAGGCAGCUCCCUAUCAGAGGCUUAGUACAGCAGAGUACUAGGAUCAUUUUUGCUCAGUGUGGGGCUUCUCUAUGGGCCAUCUUUGCAUCAGAGCUCCCCGUUGGGCUGGCCAUGACUUUUUGAAAGCUGCACCGCUGUCUGAGACUCUUCCUUCCAAUCCUUCCUUCUCCCUCUCUUUCCACUUGUGUUAGACCUGCCCUGUGGUCUGAAGGUUCUUCCUGCCUCUUUCUGUGUCAUCCCCCCUUUAUCUUCUGUGAUAAUUUUUUUUUGCACUUCUAACUCCAUCUUGACUUCCUGGAGGACCUGAACUGAUGCAUUUGAUUUGGUUUUAGAGAUAGCACCUCCUUAUCCUCCCUCCUGGGGAGGGUAGGAGAAAAGCCAAAGCACUCUUUGCUCCUACAAAUUUCGUUUAAAAAUAACCUCUGACAUGUUUAAUCUCUUCAGUAGCCUUGAUGGGAUGGUGUUUGCUGAAUGGGCUUUGCCAUCAUUUAAUAAAUUCAGGGAGUUUGUUGAAGGAAUUUGAGGGCUGAUCAAAGAAAAAGAUAUGACCACAAGGGACAGUAACACAACAAGCUUUAUUGGGUGGCACUGGGACAGGGUUGCAUAAGAGGGAAAGUCCUCACAGCACAGGACUAUCCAGAGGUUUAUGGAUGGGCUAAGAGGCCACCACCUGGAAGGGAAGGAAGGCAUAGGGACUCACAGGGCAGAGAAGGAACAAAGAGGGAGCUUAUGUGUCUGGGUGAGGUCAGUCAGUACCACGUUGGAGAGUCUCUGCAUAUGCAAAGCAGGCAGGCUUUAAAUGGCUAAAAAGCUGCUUAUUUGGGAUGUUUUAAAAAUAAUCAGGCUGGGUGUGGUGGCUCAUGCCUGUAAUCCCAGCAUUCUGGGAGGCUGAGGCAUGCGGAUUGCCUGAGCUUGGGAGUUUGAGACCACCCCGGGCAACAUGGUGAAACCCCAUCUCUACUAAAAUACAAAAAAUUAGCUGGUCACGGUGGUGUGUGCCUGUAAUCCCAGCUACUUGGGAGACUGAGGCAGUAGAAUCGCUUGAGCCCAGGAGGUGGAGGUUGAAGUGAGCCAAGACCGUGCCACUGCACUCCAGCUUGGGCAACAUAGUGAGACUUCGUCUCAAAUAAUAAUCAUAAUAAUCAGACGUGUAAAAAUAUGAGUUGGGCACCAGUGAGCUUUUCAGGUAACAGGUCUCAGUCUACAGUGAAGAAAUAAACAACAUAGGGGCCAAUACACAGAGGCCAUCUUUAGUUCAUUUAUAUAACAAACAAUGUGUGAUGUUUCCAUUGAGAAUGUAGAUCGUACAGGGACUUAGCACCUCCUGUCCUCAGAUUUGGGCUAAAGUUCUGUGAAAAUAGGCCACAUUUCAUUUACCAUCCUGUUAUACAUGCAAUACCCAGCAACUAUGCCCUGCUGUGUCUUGUGGCAGAUGCUAGGGACACAAUGGUCUAGGGUUCCUGCUGUCGCAGAGCUUCGAAGUGCUGAAAGAAUUGCACAAAUGCAUAUGUGAUCACUGGGUUAAGUGCUAAGGAAGGCAAGCAGUACAAGAGUGCUAUAAGAAUGUGUUAAAGAGUGACCUCAGAAGAGGGUGCGGGUGCCAGAGGAAGCAUCCUUGAUGAAGGGACAUGAAUGCUGGGACAUGGAGGAUAAGUAGGAUUUAGCCAAGCAAAGAGUAGAGGUAGGGGUGGAACCAUGCUCAGGCAACAGAGACAGAAUAUGCAGUGGGCCUUGAAGCUUCCUCUACCUAAGCUACCUACUCCCAGUCAGUCACACCCUAGGCUUUGUCAUCUCCUAAAAUUGUCCCAUCUUGAGAAUCAGUGACUCAAGUAUGCUACUUUCUGACCACAGACUCCCUACUGUGAUCCUUUUUCAACCUCUUUGGGGCCUUCAGAUGUUGACUCCUCUGUUUCUUCCAACCUAUCAGCCCUCUUCUUUCCCUCCUAGUUUCUUUUUGUUUAAAGAGCUUUACUCAGACAUAAUUCACACACAUGUAUUUAAAGUGUAAAAUCUGAUCAAUGUUGGUAUAAGCAUACACCUGUGAACUCAUCACCACAGUCAAGAUUAGUGAGUGUAUUCAUCACUCCCAGAAAGUUCCUCAUUCCCCUCUGUAAUCUCUCCUUCCCUGUAUCCUAAAACGUUGCUAAAUUCUAAACUCCCUUACUAGUUCUAAUAGAUCUUUUGGGUAGAUUCUAUCAGAUUUCCCACACAGAAAAUGUUACCUGCAAACAAAGACAGUUGUACUUCUUCCUUUAUGAUAUGAAUACUUUUAUUUAUUUUGCUUGCCCUAUUUUCAAAAGGCUUUCUUCUUGGCUCCAUAGCUUCUUACUACAUACAACUUCAUAAUUCAAUAUUGGUCUUGCGUGGCAAGCCAGCAGUGUGACAGACACAGUCUUCCAUCUCUCACUUCUCAUUGGAAUCUCAGCUCCUUAGGUCACCAAGUUUGUCUCUCCAGCCCUGUGAGACUGUGGAAAUCUCUACUGGGUGUUUGACCCCCAGCUGUGGCCAUCUAAGUAAAGCCUCAAUUCUCAGCCUCCUUCCCUGCACCUGGAAGUGUCUGCAGCACCACCUCAUCCUUUCAUGGUUCUCUUCUUUCCUGCAUGUUGGCCCCUCAAUAUUCAUUUUAAUAGGUCUCCAGUGCCUUUAAACUGAUCCUUUUGUCAUGUUUCAUCGGACUUUUCUUCUUGUUCUCUAUAGGAGCAUUUGUCUGCCAAAAGCUACUCUUUUAUACCCAUAAGCAGAAGUCAAAUCAAUAAAAUUGUUACUCCUUAAAUGUUCUCAAACAUUUCUACUUCUCUUUAUCUCUUCCACCACCAUCCUAGUCCAAAUCACUCCUCUGUGUUAGUGCAACGACCUCCUUCAUUGCUCUCCUUUCAUCCACUCUUGCCUCCCACCUAGGCAUUCCCCAUAUAGCAGUCAGAAUUCUUUUUUAAAAAACAGGUAAGAUUAUAUCACUUCCCUGCUCAAAACCCUUAAAUUGUUUUCGAUAGUUUUCUUAGCAUAAAAUGAAAAAUAAACAUUAUUAACAACAAUAAAUGGUACUUGCUGAACUGUGGUUAUGCUCAAUGUGCAUCAGUAAUGCAAAUGGCCUUUCCUGUGACUCCUCUCGUUAAUACAGAGAAAUAAGCAGACAUUCAUCAAGUUCAACUUAAUUGGUCAAGGACACAGAUAGGGGCAGUAAAGGCAGAAUUUCGAGCCAGGACUCUUCAGCUCAAGAGCAUGUCUUUGAAGCAGAGUCCUGAAUGGAAAAAUGACUCCUUUUCUAUGUUCUCAUCUUGGUAUCAGUUAGGGCUGUCCAGAGAAACAGAAUCAAUAGGAGAGAUAGAUGUAUCUCCUGUUGAGGCAGAGAGAGACAGAGAGAGAGAGAGAGAGAGAGAGAUUAAGGAACUGGCUCACAUGAUUGUGAGUUGGGGGCUGGCAAGUCUGAAAUCUGUAGGGUAGGGCAGCAGGCUUGAGACCCAGGGAAGAGUUAAUGUUGCAGCUUGAGUCCAAAGGCUGUCUGAACACAGAAUUCCUUUCUCUUCAAGGGACCUCGGUCUUUUCUCUUAAGGCCUCCAACUGACCAGAUGAGACCCAUCCACAUUGUGGAAGAGGACAAUCUGCUUUACUCAAAGUCUGUUGAUUUAAAUGUUAAUAAUAUCUUAAAAAAUAGCAUCACAGCCACAUCUAGAUACUUUGACCAAGCAACUGGGAACUGUAGCCUAGCCAAGUUGACACAAAACCAGCCAUUAUACUUCCUGACUAUAUUUUCAUGGUAAAGAAUUCAAACAACAGGGAGAUAUAUAGAAGAAAUACUGAAAGUCACAUUUCCACCCCAUCCCUUUCGUUCCCCAGAGGUGAACACUGUGAAUUCCUCAGUCAGCAUCCUUCCAGAACUCUGCCUAUUCCUUUAACACUCAUACAUGUAAAUAUAUUCAUAUAAUUUGGUUUUAUUUUACUUAAAUGAGAUUGUCCUGUAAGUGCUGUCUAGUGUCUUGUUUUUUUGUCUCAAAUGGUAACUCAUGGAAAUCAUUCUGUGUUAGUUCAUCCAUAUUUAUCUUGUUUUUUCAGUUGGACAAACAAAACAUUCAUUCAAUGUUUACAAAAUUAAAUCAAGUAAAAAUAAAAAAUUCUCUUUGAUCACUUCCUAAACCUCACUGUCCUUCUCAGCAGUAAGUGGUUUAAAAAAAUAUAUUACUUUUUCGAGACAGGGUCUCACUCUGUUGCCCAGGCUGGAGUGCAGUGAUGUGGUCACAGCUUACUGCAGCCUCAAACUCCCAGGCGCAAGUGAUCCUCCCACUUCAAUUUCCCAAGUAACUGGGGGCACAGGCACAUGCCACCACAUCCAGCUAAUUUUUCAUUUCUUGUAGAGAUGGGAUCUUUCCAUUUUGCCCAGGCUGGUCUUGAACUCCUGGGCUCAAGCCAUCCUCCUAUCUAAGGCUCCCAAAUUGCUGAGAUUACCAGCAUGAGCCACCACACCUGGCCAGUGAGUACUUUGAUAAGUUUGGUGUCAGUCUAUCUAAUUAGACACAAUAUUACACAAAGAGGUGAAGAUGGCAGGGUGGUCUCUGUAUUUCCUUCAUGUUCUCUUUUCCUCUCUGUUCUCACCCCUGUAUAACUUGUAUCAAGAAUGUCAUGCUAUAACAGUGAACUUAUGUGAUAUGAUCUGUAUUAAUAAGAGAGAAGCUUGUUUGUCUUUCAAGUGUGCCACUAUGAGGCAUUUGAAAAAUCUGAGCCUAUUCCUAUAGAGGGCUGUUAGCAACAGACAGCUGUAAAAUUCAACCUUUUCAUCCAGGCUGGAGCCAGGAACUAUCAGUUCUUAGGUUGGGGAGACAUAUAAGGGUCAAAAAGAAUUUUUCAACCAGAAAGCCAAGACUGACUGUGUUUUAUUGUGAAAGUUUCUUAGAUAAGUAUCUGCAGGAACUUUCCAAAGGAAGCGAUCAGGGGAAGGGAGGCUGUGGAGAGGACUCUGUAAACUGGUAGGAUCCACUGCUACCCUAGGGGUGGGGGUGGGCAUCAUGGGUUGGACCAGAGCCAGGGCACAAAUUGGGACCUGUGGUAGGUUGAAUAAUGGCCCCCCAAGGAUAGCAGGUCCAAAUUCCUGGAAUCUGUAUGUAUUACCUUAUUUGGGAAAAGGGUCUUUACAAUGUGAUUAAGCUAAAGAUCUUGAGAUGGGGAGAUUAUCCUGGAUUAUCUCGGUGGGCUCUAAAUCCAAUCACACUUGUCCUUAUAAGGAGGUAAAGGCAGAUUGUCUGCACACACACCCACAUACAGGAGGAGGUGAUAUGAGGAGGGAAGACAGACAGGUUUGAAAAUGCUGGCCUUAAGACCAAGGAAUACAGGCAGUCACUAGAUAUUGAAAGAGCUAGGAAUGGAUCCUCCCCUGGAGCCUCCAGAGAAAGUGGGGCCCUGAUGACAUCUUGUUUCAGCCCAGUGAUACUGAUUUUAGACUUCCAACCUCCAGAACUGUGAGAGAAUAAAAUUCUGUUGUUUUAAGCCA
Long non-coding RNA from Macaca fascicularis (crab-eating macaque), 5874 nucleotides. NCBI's taxonomy places the organism in Eukaryota, Metazoa, Chordata, Mammalia, Primates, Cercopithecidae. The record is from Ensembl.